RNAcentral lists this small nuclear RNA (181 nucleotides) under Peromyscus maniculatus bairdii (prairie deer mouse). Its description in RNAcentral is "U1 spliceosomal RNA (ENSPEMG00000006417.2)". It matches the Rfam family "U1 spliceosomal RNA". From Rfam's summary of the family: U1 is a small nuclear RNA (snRNA) component of the spliceosome (involved in pre-mRNA splicing). Its 5' end forms complementary base pairs with the 5' splice junction, thus defining the 5' donor site of an intron. The record is from RNAcentral. Lineage: Eukaryota; Metazoa; Chordata; Mammalia; Rodentia; Cricetidae.
AUACUUAUGUGGCAGGGGAGUUACCAUGAUCACGAAGGUGAUUCUCCCAUGGUAGGGCUGAUCCAUGGCACUCUUACAUAGCACUCAUAGUACAGUACAUCUGUCCCGACCCUGUGAUUUCCUAAAUGCAAAGAGCUCUGCUGCACAAUUUGUUAUUGGAGAUUGCAUCUGCACUCUCCCC